AAUAUGUGGCAUACGGCUCAGUAACACGUAGUCAACAUGCCCAGGGGACGUGGAUAACCUCGGGAAACUGAGGAUAAACCGCGAUAGGUCAUCACUUCUGGAAUGGGUAAUGACUUAAAUCUACAUGGCCCCUGGAUUGGACUGCGGCCGAUCAGGCUGUUGGUGAGGUAAUGGCCCACCAAACCUGUAACCGGUACGGGCUCUGAGAGGAGGAGCCCGGAGAUGGGCACUGAGACAAGGGCCCAGGCCCUAUGGGGCGCAGCAGGCGCGAAACCUCUGCAAUAGGCGAAAGCUUGACAGGGUUACUCUGAGUGAUUUCCGUUAAGGAGAUCUUUUGGCACCUCUAAAAAUGGUGCAGAAUAAGGGGUGGGCAAGUCUGGUGUCAGCCGCCGCGGUAAUACCAGCACCCCGAGUGGUCGGGACGUUUAUUGGGCCUAAAGCAUCCGUAGCCGGUUCUACAAGUCUUCCGUUAAAUCCACCUGCUUAACAGAUGGGCUGCGGAAGAUACUAUAGAGCUAGGAGGCGGGAGAGGCAAGCGGUACUCGAUGGGUAGGGGUAAAAUCCGUUGAUCCAUUGAAGACCACCAGUGGCGAAGGCGGCUUGCCAGAACGCGCUCGACGGUGAGGGAUGAAAGCUGGGGGAGCAAACCGGAUUAGAUACCCGGGUAGUCCCAGCUGUAAAC
Molecule: ribosomal RNA, 682 nt
Filed under: uncultured Nitrososphaerota archaeon
Lineage: Archaea; Thermoproteati; Nitrososphaerota
Description: bacterial SSU rRNA
Rfam family: Archaeal small subunit ribosomal RNA
Source: RNAcentral